This is a long non-coding RNA of Oncorhynchus keta (chum salmon), 325 nucleotides long. RefSeq lists it as uncharacterized. Lineage: Eukaryota; Metazoa; Chordata; Actinopteri; Salmoniformes; Salmonidae. The transcript is spliced from 3 exons. The record is from RefSeq and is a predicted model, not a curated record.
AUGGUUAAGACUAGGGUUAAGGUUUGGGAUAGGGUUAUGAAUGGUUAAGAUAAGGGUUAAGGUCUGGGAUAGGGUUAUGAAUGGUUAAGAUAAGGGUUAAGGUCUGGGAUAGGGUUAUGAAUGGUUAAGAUAAGGGUUAAGGUCUGGGAUAGGGUUAUGAAUGGUUAAGGUCUGGGAUAGGGUUAUGAAUGGUUAAGACUAGGGGUUAAGGUCUGGGAUAGGGUUAUGAAUGGUUAAGACUAGGGGUUAAGGUCUGGGAUAGGGUUAUGAAUGGUUAAGACUAGGGGUUAAGGUCUGGGAUAGGGUUAUGAAUGGUUAAGACUAG